Non-coding RNA from Mycena alexandri, 96 nucleotides. NCBI's taxonomy places the organism in Eukaryota, Fungi, Basidiomycota, Agaricomycetes, Agaricales, Mycenaceae. The record is from the annotation of a GenBank genome assembly.
GACUCGAAAGCGGAGUGGUCCGCGUCUGCCACUUGAUGUACUGUCGUGGUCGAAUGCUGAAUACAGAUCUCGCCGGUUCGACUCCGGCUCGAGUCU